Molecule: ribosomal RNA, 463 nt
Filed under: uncultured bacterium
Lineage: Bacteria
Description: partial 16S ribosomal RNA
Rfam family: Bacterial small subunit ribosomal RNA
Source: RNAcentral
GACGAACGCUGGCGGCGUGCUUAACACAUGCAAGUCGAACGGAAAGGCCUUUUCGGAGGUACUCGAGUGGCGAACGGGUGAGUAAAACGUGGGUGAUCUGCCCUGCACUCUGGGAUAAGCCUGGGAAACUGGGUCUAAUACCGGAUAGGACCGCACUUUAGUGUGUGUGGUGGAAAGUUUUUUCGGUGUAGGAUGAGCCCGCGGCCUAUCAGCUUGUUGGUGGGGUAAUGGCCUACCAAGGCGGCGACGGGUAGCCGGACUGAGAGGUUGGUCGGCCACAUUGGGACUGAGAUACGGCCCAGACUCCUACGGGAGGCAGCAGUGGGGAAUAUUGCACAAGGGGCGCAAGCCUGAUGCAGCGACGCCGCGUGGGGGAUGACGGCCUUCGGGUUGUAAACUCCUUUCGCCAGGGACGAAGCGUUUUGUGACGGUACCUGGAGAAGAAGCACCGGCUAACUACGUG